CCUACGGGUGGCAGCAGUGGGGAAUAUUGCGCAAUGGGCGAAAGCCUGACGCAGCGAAGCCGCGUGAGGGAUGAAGGUCUUCGGAUCGUAAACCUCUGUCAACAUGGAAAAACGGUCACUGUGCUAAUCAGCAGUGAAUUGACGGUACCUGCAAAGGAAGGCCCGGCUAACUCCGUGCCAGCAGCCGCGGGAAUGCGGAGGGUGCGAGCGUUAAUCGGAAUUGCUGGGUGUAAAGCGCUCGUAGGCGUUAAGGCAAGUCAAGGGUGAAAUCCCCUGGCUCAACGGUGGAAUUGCCUUUGAAACUGGCAGACUUGAGUGUGGGAGAGGAUGGUGGAAUUCGAGGUGUAGGAGUGAAAUGCGUAGAUAUCUGGAGGAACAGCAGUGGCGAAGGCGACUAUCUGGCACAUAACUGACGCUGAGGAGCGAAAGUGUGGGUAGCAAACAGGAUUAGAUACCCGAGUAGUC
This 465-nucleotide ribosomal RNA is filed under the name uncultured bacterium. RNAcentral's name for it is "partial 16S ribosomal RNA". It matches the Rfam family "Bacterial small subunit ribosomal RNA", at positions 338 to 795 of the family's 1533-position model. The record is from RNAcentral.